This 5110-nucleotide long non-coding RNA is filed under the name Mus musculus (house mouse). RNAcentral's name for it is "long non-coding RNA chr2:131024711-131029821". The record is from RNAcentral. Lineage: Eukaryota; Metazoa; Chordata; Mammalia; Rodentia; Muridae.
UUUUUUAUAGUUUUGAAUUUUUUUUUCUUUUUGGGUAUUGCUAAGGAUCAAAUAUAGAUCUACUAUUUAUUUUUUAUAACAUCCAUUAGUAUUUUUAUAACUUACUACAUAGUUUGCCAAUUCUUUUAUACAUGUCCAUCAAACAUGUAAGUCAUAAUUUAUAUAAACCUUGUGUUAAAGCUGGAGGCACAGAAGGAAGAUUGCUACAGAGUGAAGUCUAGACUAGCCAGGGCUAUAUAGUGGGACCCUGUUGCAAAGAAAAAGUUCUCUCUUUAAACACAAAGGCAGUAUGAAAAGACAUACCUUGAUUCUGAAGCUGUGCAUAGGAAUGCCUCACACAGUGUUCUGCUCAGGACUAUACUCAGAUGCAGUGGUCUGAGGGACUUGGUGGUGUCUCAGCCAAAAUAACCUGGAGUUUAGUAGGAAAGUCUCCUUUAUCCGUGUCCAGUCCUGAAGGGAAGCCUUAUUUAUGUAUGAUGAGUCAGGACCCAUUGUCUUCAUCUUACUUGGCAUCCCCCCAGCACUGAGUCUCUGAGUUAGCCUUACUUGGACAGAGUGACUCUCUGGGCACUCUGGACAGCAUCUCCUGCUUCAAAAGGGCAAGAUCUUUAGAAGACACAGAGAUGGAGCAGGUCUUACAUGGAGAUAUAGCAGCUUUUCCUUCCUGACCCUUGACCCAAUGCUUCUUUGGAAAUCCUCAUGAAACCCUGCUCCUUUCUGGAGACCCACCCCACAGCAGGGUUAUCCAUGCCAAGCUUCCUGUACUUUCUCUUUUUGAGGAAGCACAUACACACAAAGUUUUAGUAGCUCGCACAUCUCACUGUGAAGUAGUGAUACUUUCAUUGCUAUCUUCUGGAAACAGGCAGGAGUAGGCACACGCUCAGAGCAUAGCUGCACUCUCAUUCACUUGCCACCCUGAGGCAGAGCACACGACUUUGUGAUCUGCUAUGGAGGAGAGAGAAAUGAGUAGUUAGGUGUGUAUAAAUAAGCUAACACCAUCACCCCUUUAUCUUUCACUAGGGAAAUGUAAAAAGAAAUCUGAAAUUAUUUUGUAAAAAAGUAAGCUGCUUCAUGACACAUGUCCCCUCUUGUGGGUUCUUCCAAGGUCUCGCUGUGGCCAGUGCCCUGGUGGACAUUUCUCAGCAGAUGCCAAUAGUGUACAAGGAGAAGUCAGGAGCUGUAAGAAACCGGAAGCAGCAGCCGCCUGCACAGCCUGGAACCUGCAUUUGAUACUGGGGCAGGAAUUCGCCCUCACAGAGGGCGUGUGGUCCACGAAGCUGUCUACAGGGGAGGCUGCAGGCAGGAAGCAGGCGUGGGGCAGAAGACUGGGGACCCUUGAAGCGUCCAACUCAUGUGCAUGAUCAUGCAAGCUGUUUUCAUGGCUCACCCCUCUGUGUCCAGCAUCUAACCUUUUACUUCUGUGUAGGAAAUAAUUUAAUUACAAGUCCAGGAAUGGUCUGCUCUACUCAUGGGUGGAGGAGACCAGUGCCGACCCCGUGAGAGCUGAAGGUGAUGCUGAGGUCCCUUGUGGAAGCCUCUCUUGGGAAUCUCAACUGCAGAGGAGCUGCCCUCUGUCAGCAGCUCUCCAGCAUGGUCCUCUGACACUCCUCAGAUGAACUGUUCUCAUCGGAAGCUUGCUGUCUUUUUACAAGAUGAGCUUUUACUCUCUUCCAGGAAGUAGCUUUUUUUCUAGCUGAGAAUUAAUAAUGGUCUUUCUCUUUGGAAGUCAUAUCAAAGUAUAAUUGAUGGGGGCCUUGUUUUGUUUUGUUUUGGUUUUUGGAGACAGGGUCUCACUGUGUAGUCCUAGCUGGCCUGGAACUCACUAUGUAGAUCAGGCUGGACUGAACUCACAAAGAUCCACCUGCCUCUGCCUCACAAAUGCUGGGAUAAAAAGCAUGAACCACCAGGCCCAGCAAAGAGGGCUAUUCUAAAUGUCAAGGUCAAUGGAGUUAGAAUAUAUAUAAAAAAAUGCAAUUGAUAAUUCUCUAUAGAAACUUGAUUAAUUUUAAUCCAUUCUUUCCUUCUCUUUCUCUCACUCUGUCUUACACACAUGCACACAUACACACACACUAAGUGCCUAGACUUUGAAUAGAUCUAGCAAUUGGACAUUAGUAAGCCUAAGUUUUUACAUGAUUGCAUUCCUACAUUCUUGUAAACUUUAAGUAACUACCAUUGCAGUUUGUUCUUUUUUUAAAGUCUAAUUUGCAGCCAAGAACGAGUAAUUCUCACCCCAAGCAACAUCUAAUAGGGACUGAGUGACCCCAGCCCAGCCUAGUGUCACUUUAGGCCUGACGUUUGAGCAACCCUCGGCUCUUGCCAAGGCACCACAGAAUGCACUUGCUCAUGCCCUGUGCCUCUUGAGCAGAAAAGAGCACUGACAACUGGGACACCUGGCUCUGUCUUCCUACAGCUGCUCGCACUGACCUGUGGGAACCUGUGGGUCAUCCCCAGGCUGAAUGGAGUACACACUAGAAGAGGGAUGAUGCCUAGCAUUGGGGCAGCAUCUGCUCAGCACAUGGAAAGGGACCUGGUUCCAUCUCCCCUGGGCAGGAGUUGGUCCAGCCUCCUCCCAGACCCAGCUGGUGGCUGUGAGGAGGUGGGGAAUGCUAAUGAGAAUGAAAAGCACAUGGGUUGAUGGGAAGGGACAAGAUUACCACGUUAGGAGGGUGAGCAGCCCUCUGCUAUGUGCCCAGGACCCUGCCUGGACAUUGCAUUUCCCCAUUUAUGGUGCUCCGUAUUCUGGCAUUAUGCAGCAGCCUCACACACCUGUCCUCUCCUUCUUCAUGUCCUACAGUUCUGCUAUCACCUGACUAGAAUAGCCCUCUAGGCAACAGUGCUCAAAUGUAUGAGUUUGGAGAAGUUAACAAUCAGAAGAACAAAAACUGUAGUGUUUCACCUUUAAAUGCAGUGUUGAAGAGGGAGCCUUUCUCUAAGCCCUGCACUAACCCACUCCUCCCAAGACUCUUGUGGAGUGACAGUUCCAAGCUGAACCAUAAAUCACUGAUGCACAAAACACUGCUAGAAGGCUCACCUCUCAAAACACGACUCUUUGCAUCACUAUUAAAGAGCAGAAAGUUCUAGAAAUGAUCCCAGCCUCAUCCCCUAUACAGUUAGGAGCUCCCCACAUCUCUACCAAAACCCAGCACAUAAGUAUCUGCGUGGUCUAGCCUUUCAUCUCCGUAACAAGCCAGGGGACUCUUGGCCAAAAGAAAGAAAGGGAAGUUGCACUAGGGCUUGUCCGUCCAUAAGGAAUUCCCCUCUGCUUUGCUCAAAGGACCAAAUUUCUUUGGCCAAAGAAGUUGCUUCUAUGUUAGUCCCAUACCCUGAAGUAAUAUGUACCAUGGCUCCCACCUACCUGUUUAUGCUCUCCCUGCCCCCAGGGAAACUGUUUAUUCUUUCAAAAGAAGCAAACAGCGUUCAUUUCUGCUCCUGUAAUGGAGAAACAGCCAGCUCCCCUGCAUCCCUUACAGCCAACAGCUCCCUUCAGGCUUAGAGCAGGGGGAAUGGCAGGGAUUAAGAGCUCAGCUCAGAGCCAGUUACCAAGAUGGAAUGGAGUUGUGACCCAGUAACUGUGUCACGAGAGACCAUGUAUAUAAAAUAGUCAUGACGACACUGACCUCUUGCACUUGUACAUAACUAUACUGUAGUGUCCAGAAUGUUCAGACAUUCAGGGUGUACAUAAACAGAAGAGUAUCAUAAUGUAUUUUUAUUAAACACUAACAUCUGAGUUUCACCUAAUCUGUUUCUGUGCCAUAUACUGGGUAUCCAAGCUCUGGGAAGUUAUCCUACCAGGCCCUGAUCUGUUGAUAAGGCACUAUACACCAUGCUGGUGUGUUCUGUAGCCUUGUGCCCAUUAGGUAACUGAACAAUGAUUCAGCUCUUAGAAUACCUAGGAAGACAGCAAGCAGGGUGACACACGGCUGUGAUCUAAGCAUUCAGAAGACAGAGGCAGGAAGAAAAUUCAAAAAUGGGGCUGGAGAGAUGGCUCAGUGGUUAAAAGCACUGGCUGCUCUUGGUCAGGACACUAGUUCAGUUCCCAGUACCCACAUGGUGGCUCACAACCUUCUGUGACUACAGUUCCAGAUAACCUGACACCCUCCUCUGGCCUCCUCGGGUGCCUGUGGUGGUCCACCUGGUGCACAGACAAACACCCAAUACACACAAAACAAAAGUAACUCAAGAAUAGCCUGGGCUACAUAGCAAGAGCCUGUCUCAAAACAAACGAACCUAUGAAGAGCCAGGCAGUCUAUCUAUUUACAUGGCAGUAUACUAGAGAAACUCAGGAAGCAAGAGUGUUCAUCACUGUUGUAAUUUCAAAUGCUCCUUGUGAUUUCUGGCAUCUCUGUGGGGUGAGGUGUUCUGUUACUCUUCACAUUCAAAGACUGUCACCCAUGAACGUCAGACUUUGCAAAGGGGCUCUCUAAGCUGCACUGUUGUGGCUUUGUCUAAAAUUUUAAUGACGUUUCUGAGAACCAUGUUCUUUUUAUACUAAAAUCUGGGGAUGGGAGGGCUCAUUUGUUGAUAAAUAGCACUAUUUUCCCACACCUCAGCCUCCUGUCCCCGUCCUGGUCUUCCCUACACAGUCUGGAGAGGGCUCUGAAAGGUCCACAGAGUUUGACAGACACGAAAGCAACCCAUUGCCCCGUUGACCUGACCUGGAAGAAGACUGUCAGCAAAAGGAAAAUACCAGAAUAUCUGGAAAGCUUGAAGUGUAAGAUGGGAUCUCGUUGGGGAAUUGGAUGAAGAAAAGCAGAGCGCCUCUGGUAGGUGACUCUGCAGCCUGCCAGCGCCCGCCCUCUUUCUACACAGCAGAGUGUGCAUGGCAAGGAAAUGAGUCACCUCCUUGGGGGAUGGUGCUGUUUUUAUGAAAACCUCUGAUCCUUGGUGUCCUUUAAUUGAUCUGUUCAACAAAUAUUUACUAAACACUUCUAAGCUAACAUUAGGGCAGUGACUGAGGUGGAAACCCAGCUCUUUAGACAGCUGUCAUCCUAGGAUAGCUUCCUGGAAGCAGAACCAAGAAGCCAGAAGGUUCUUCCUAGGGUGGCCUUGGCUCCCUGAAGGAAUCUGAAAUGCUGACCCUGUCACAACCUCCCAGCACAGCUUUGGAAUG